GCCUCGGUGGCUCAGCCUGGUAGAUGUUUCUCGACACCGGAGAGCAUCCGCCUCGUACCCGCAGGGUCGCGGGUUCAAACCCCGCCCGAGGCUCCA
This 96-nucleotide transfer RNA is filed under the name Candidatus Bathyarchaeota archaeon. Its description in RNAcentral is "tRNA-Thr". It matches the Rfam family "tRNA". From Rfam's summary of the family: Transfer RNA (tRNA) molecules are approximately 80 nucleotides in length. The record is from RNAcentral. Lineage: Archaea; Thermoproteati; Candidatus Bathyarchaeota.